UGAGGAAUAUUGCACAAUGGGCGAAAGCCUGAUGCAGCGACGCCGCGUGGAGGAUGAAGGUCUUCGGAUUGUAAACUCCUGUUAAGCGGGAAGAAAUACCCACUAGUAAUAUGAGUGGGGGAUGACGUUACCGCUAGAGAAAGCACCGGCUAACUUCGUGCCAGCAGCCGCGGUAAUACGAGGGGUGCAAGCGUUAUUCGGAAUAACUGGGCGUAAAGGAUGCGUAGACGGCUUGUUAAGUCUGUUGUUAAAUUCCCCGGCCUAACCGGGGCUCAGCAAUAGAAACUGGCGAGCUAGAGGAUGGAAGAGAGAAGUGGAAUUCUCGGAGUAGCGGUAAAAUGCGUAGAUCUCGAGAGGAACACCGAUGGCGAAGGCAGCUUCUUGGUCCAUUCCUGACGUU
This 400-nucleotide ribosomal RNA is filed under the name uncultured bacterium. RNAcentral's name for it is "bacterial SSU rRNA". It matches the Rfam family "Bacterial small subunit ribosomal RNA", at positions 355 to 747 of the family's 1533-position model. The record is from RNAcentral.